UAGCGGCGGACGGGUGAGUAAUGCUUAGGAAUCUGCCUAUUAGUGGGGGACAACAUCUCGAAAGGGAUGCUAAUACCGCAUACGUCCUACGGGAGAAAGCAGGGGAUCUUCGGACCUUGCGCUAAUAGAUGAGCCUAAGUCGGAUUAGCUAGUUGGUGGGGUAAAGGCCUACCAAGGCGACGAUCUGUAGCGGGUCUGAGAGGAUGAUCCGCCACACUGGGACUGAGACACGGCCCAGACUCCUACGGGAGGCAGCAGUGGGGAAUAUUGGACAAUGGGGGGAACCCUGAUCCAGCCAUGCCGCGUGUGUGAAGAAGGCCUUAUGGUUGUAAAGCACUUUAAGCGAGGAGGAGGCUACUUUAGUUAAUACCUAGAGAUAGUGGACGUUACUCGCAGAAUAAGCACCGGCUAACUCUGUGCCAGCAGCCGCGGUAAUACAGAGGGUGCGAGCGUUAAUCGGAUUUACUGGGCGUAAAGCGUGCGUAGGCGGCUUAUUAAGUCGGAUGUGAAAUCCCCGAGCUUAACUUGGGAAUUGCAUUCGAUACUGGUGAGCUAGAGUAUGGGAGAGGAUGGUAGAAUUCCAGGUGUAGCGGUGAAAUGCGUAGAGAUCUGGAGGAAUACCGAUGGCGAAGGCAGCCAUCUGGCCUAAUACUGACGCUGAGGUACGAAAGCAUGGGGAGCAAACAGGAUUAGAUACCCUGGUAGUCCAUGCCGUAAACGAUGUCUACUAGCCGUUGGGGCCUUUGAGGCUUUAGUGGCGCAGCUAACGCGAUAAGUAGACCGCCUGGGGAGUACGGUCGCAAGACUAAAACUCAAAUGAAUUGACGGGGGCCCGCACAAGCGGUGGAGCAUGUGGUUUAAUUCGAUGCAACGCGAAGAACCUUACCUGGCCUUGACAUACUAGAAACUUUCCAGAGAUGGAUUGGUGCCUUCGGG
RNAcentral lists this ribosomal RNA (936 nucleotides) under Acinetobacter baumannii. RNAcentral's name for it is "bacterial SSU rRNA". It matches the Rfam family "Bacterial small subunit ribosomal RNA", at positions 93 to 1024 of the family's 1533-position model. Lineage: Bacteria; Pseudomonadati; Pseudomonadota; Gammaproteobacteria; Moraxellales; Moraxellaceae. The record is from RNAcentral.